UAGGACGGUAAUUAUUUGGGUCAUUUUUGUUGCCUCCUUUGAAUAAAACGGUAACGCGCGCGACUUUUAAUUUGCUAGGGAAUACACCAGAAAGAAGCAUUCUGUUACAAAUAUGCGUAAGAGGGCCAGCAAUAAUAUUUACAGCACAUUUGAUAGGAAAAGCAGCAACUUCGUCAUCUCCAGCGUCCAUUUUGGCUUAGGUCGACUAGGUGACGCCCAUUACGGUGAGCUGACCUUCAAUGAAUGUAAUGACACCUCGGCCAUUUACACUUUUCGGCUAAAUAUUAUGGAGAAUAGUGGACUUGCUUUUUGGAAAUCAACCAUGCUACAAUCACGCUUGUUUGAGAAGGGCAGUUCAACAGGAGGCGUUUAUUUUGUGAUGAAUAAUGUGAAGCCCAUACGUGUUUACGUCGAAACUAUGGGCUAUACAUGGUAGCGAAGUACCCGCUCUGACGUGGCUCAUCGAUUGGCUCAGCGAGUGGCUCUGACGUGGCUUAUCUCAUCGAUUGCACUGUUCCUAAACAGCUGCUUAAACGGAUGUUGUUCCAGUUGCAUCACCUGAUUACAAAUAAAACGUCACUUCAUAUCCCUUUC
Molecule: non-coding RNA, 594 nt
Organism: Dermacentor andersoni
Lineage: Eukaryota; Metazoa; Arthropoda; Arachnida; Ixodida; Ixodidae
Source: RefSeq, a predicted model, not a curated record